GAUGAACGCUGGCGGCGUGCCUAAUACAUGCAAGUCGAGCGAACAGACGAGGAGCUUGCUCCUCUGACGUUAGCGGCGGACGGGUGAGUCACACGUGGAUAACCUACCUAUAAGACUGGGAUAACUUCGGGAAACCGGAGCUAAUACCGGAUAAUAUAUUGAACCGCAUGGUUCAAUAGUGAAAGACGGUUUUGCUGUCACUUAUAGAUGGAUCCGCGCCGCAUUAGCUAGUUGGUAAGGUAACGGCUUACCAAGGCAACGAUGCGUAGCCGACCUGAGAGGGUGAUCGGCCACACUGGAACUGAGACACGGUCCAGACUCCUACGGGAGGCAGCAGUAGGGAAUCUUCCGCAAUGGACGAAAGCUUGACGGAGCAACGCCGCGUGAGUGAUGAAGGUCUUCGGAUCGUAAAACUCUGUUAUUAGGGAAGAACAAAUGUGUAAGUAACUAUGCACGUCUUGACGGUACCUAAUCAGAAAGCCACGGCUAACUACGUG
Molecule: ribosomal RNA, 497 nt
Filed under: uncultured bacterium
Lineage: Bacteria
Description: partial 16S ribosomal RNA
Rfam family: Bacterial small subunit ribosomal RNA
Source: RNAcentral